Molecule: ribosomal RNA, 407 nt
Filed under: uncultured bacterium
Lineage: Bacteria
Description: bacterial SSU rRNA
Rfam family: Bacterial small subunit ribosomal RNA
Source: RNAcentral
UUAGGAAUCUUGCGCAAUGGGCGAAAGCCUGACGCAGCGACGCCGCGUGGAGGACGAAGUCCCUCGGGAUGUAAACUCCUUUUAUCAGGGACGAAGGAUGUGACGGUACCUGAGGAAUAAGCCCCGGCUAACUACGUGCCAGCAGCCGCGGUAAUACGUAGGGGGCGAGCGUUGUCCGAAGUUACUGGGCGUAAAGCGCGCGUAGGCGGGCCGGUAAGUGAGAAGUGAAAGGCUGGGGCUCAACCGCAGCAGUGCUUCUCAUACUGUCGGUCUUGAGGGCGGUAGGGAGAGGUGGAAUGGCUGGUGUAGCGGUGAAAUGCGUAGAUAUCAGUCGGAACACCGGUGGCGAAGGCGGCCUCUUGGGCCGUUCCUGACGCUGAUGCGCGAAAGCCAGGGGAGCGAACGGG